RNAcentral lists this ribosomal RNA (494 nucleotides) under uncultured bacterium. Its description in RNAcentral is "partial 16S ribosomal RNA". It matches the Rfam family "Bacterial small subunit ribosomal RNA", at positions 28 to 507 of the family's 1533-position model. The record is from RNAcentral.
GACGAACGCUGGCGGCGUGCUUAACACAUGCAAGUCGAACGGAAAGGCCUGCUUUCCCUUGUGGAUUGCGGGUGCUCGAGUGGCGAACGGGUGAGUAACACGUGAGUGAUCUGCCCCCAACUUGGGUAUAAGCCUGGGAAACUGGGUCUAAUUCCCGAUAGGACUGCAGGGUGGUGCCUGUGGUGGAAAACGAUUUUCUAGUGGUUGGGGAUGAGCUCGCGGCCUAUCAGCUUGUUGGUGGGGUAAUGGCCUACCAAGGCGGCGACGGGUAGCCGGCCUGAGAGGGGGGACGGCCACAUUGGGACUGAGAUACGGCCCAGACUCCUACGGGAGGCAGCAGUGGGGAAUAUUGCACAAUGGGCGGAAGCCUGAUGCAGCGACGCCGCGUGGGGGAUGACGGCCUUCGGGUUGUAAACUCCUUUCGACCGCGAGGAAGCCACCUGGUUGGAAGGGUGGUGACGGUAGUGGUAGAAGAAGCACCGGCUAACUACGUG